GAUGAACGCUGGCGGCGUGCCUAAUACAUGCAAGUCGAGCGAACGGAUGAGAAGCUUGCUUCUCUGAUGUUAGCGGCGGACGGGUGAGUAACACGUGGAUAACCUACCUAUAAGACUGGGAUAAAUUCGGGAAACCGGAGCUAAUACCGGAUAAUAUUUUGAACCGCAUGGUUCAAAAGUGAAAGACGGUCUUGCUGUCACUUAUAGAUGGAUCCGCGCUGCAUUAGCUAGUUGGUAAGGUAACGGCUUACCAAGGCAACGAUGCAUAGCCGACCUGAGAGGGUGAUCGGCCACACUGGAACUGAGACACGGUCCAGGCUCCUCCGGGAGGCAGCAGUAGGGAAUCUUCCGCAAUGGACGAAAGCCUGGCGGAGCAACGCCGCGUGAGUGAUGAAGGUCUUCGGAUCGUAAAACUCUGUUAUUAGGGAAGAACAUAUGUGUAAGUAACUGUGCACAUCUUGACGGUACCUUAUCAGAAAGCCACGGCUAACUACGUG
RNAcentral lists this ribosomal RNA (497 nucleotides) under uncultured bacterium. RNAcentral's name for it is "partial 16S ribosomal RNA". It matches the Rfam family "Bacterial small subunit ribosomal RNA", at positions 28 to 507 of the family's 1533-position model. The record is from RNAcentral.